Molecule: long non-coding RNA, 1938 nt
Organism: Taeniopygia guttata (zebra finch)
Lineage: Eukaryota; Metazoa; Chordata; Aves; Passeriformes; Estrildidae
Source: Ensembl
UUUUUUUAAUGUCCAUCAGAAGACGCCGUUAAAAACCCAACAACUUUAGCCUUCUUUAUCUACAAAGAUCUCGGAUCUCAUCUCCUUAGUCUGGUGAUCUUUUACCCUGCACAUACAAGUAUUAGAAGCAUUAUUAAGAAUCGUAUCCUUCAACACAUUUAAGAAUUAUAUUAUUAUAACAAAUAAGACCAAAAAUUAGAUUUUAUAGUUAAAUAUUCUGUGAGCCAGACAAAGGGGCUUUACUGUACAAGCAAUUGUGCAUUUUUUUUUUAAAAAAAAGCAAAUUAUAGUGCAAAGCAAAAAACAUUGGCCUGUCUCAUGACCAUUUGCAUACAACAGAGGUGCAUCUAUUUACACCUUCACAUGACAAUAUGUCAUAAAAACAACAUCAUUGCCAUUCUUUUUAUUAUUUUCUCCUUUAAAACUUACUACAAAUAGUCUUAAAUUAACCUACAACUAGGAAUGCCUUGUUUCCUUUGUGCUUUCAACCAGUGGGACAGGAUGACAAAUGCAAAAAGGCAUUAAAACACAGGCUGCCCUGUCCAGCUGCAGAGCCGGCGAGUGCCGGCGCUAAGGCGAGUGGAGGUUGCAGUUAUGCCGGGGUAAGGCCUUUUAUAUUAAAAAACAAAGAUUAUUAUUAUCAUUAUUAUUAUUAUUAUUGAAAAGAGUUGUUCUUCGCUGCUUAUGGAACUGGGAGUGGUCAUGGCAGCUCUCCAGGGCAGCCAGGAUGUGCUGCUCCAGCCCUGCUGUGGUAGUGCAAUUCCAGCGCUGGGAGCUGGUGACAGGUGACAAGGCUGGGACGGUGGGACCGAGGCACAGGGGCCAGGAGGGCAGCUCUGGGGGCAAGAUUUUCUUCUGCUUAUGGGAGAAGUGGAAAAAGAAAGGCGUGGUUACUGGUGGCAUUGGGGCUGUCCUCUGGCUGCAGGGAGGGCUCUGCAGGGCACUGGGCACUGCAGUUAUGGAUCCCCAGGAAUCUGUCUGUGCCCUCCCAGCCCUGCCAGCACGACGACUCCUGAAUCCAGCCCCAAUUCUCAUGCCAGCAGAGGGCACAGGUGGCCUGCAGGAGGUGACAACCCUGUGCUAUGCAUCAGAGCCUUGGAGGAGCCCAGAGCCCCCCUCCACCACGGGCCUGUUUGGUUGCAAUCUCUGUGGUGUCAGCUGUGAGGGUGUGUGCUGCUUGGCAGACCUGGUUCCUGCAAAUGCCACCUGAUGCCACCGCCACCAGCGGCAUUGAGUGCCCCCUCUACAGAGAGAUCACCGUGCUCAGGGUCACCUGGGGAAGGACAGGAGGGUGAGGGGAUGGAAGAGGCUGCACAGCAUCAAUUCACAACAUUCCCACCACCAGGAGCAGAAACUGCUCCUUUCUCCAGAUCUCAGAGCUUUCAGGAUGAACUGAGACAUGUGAAUCAAAAUAAAAAAUUGUGUUAAUCCUCUCUGGGUGAGAACAUGGGAAAGGACUAGAACAGAAUUGUGAAGCUUUGCCACCAGCUGUGAGUGUUGCCUCUCUGAGGGGAUGAAAGGAACACCUGGAGGACGGAUGCAAGGCCGUGCCAAAGGCUCCUGAGCCCCUUGGAAGUGCAUCUCAAACGUCUCAGAUUGUCCUGAACGCCGCCUUCACUUCAGCCACCAUCACAGAGGUUUGCUAAGGAAAGCAAAGAGCUGAAUGGUGAGGUCAGGACAAGAGAGCAAACAAAAAAAACAAAACAUCUCCAUAAAAAGUACAUCUCGUGUGUAAACAUGGAGGGGAGGGGUCAGCCAGGCCCGGGGUCAGCCACGUUACUGAUUGACAAAUGACAACAGUGACACCAAAAUGAAUAAUACAGCUUGUGUCGUCAACAAAUAAUAACAAUAAUCACAUCACAGCUCUUGUUCACGUGGCUAACUGAGCCCCAGUGCCCCUGGCUGUGCUGCAAACCCCACUGCUCUGUGGUGCUCAGG